RNAcentral lists this ribosomal RNA (253 nucleotides) under uncultured bacterium. RNAcentral's name for it is "partial 16S ribosomal RNA". It matches the Rfam family "Bacterial small subunit ribosomal RNA", at positions 524 to 776 of the family's 1533-position model. The record is from RNAcentral.
UACGUAGGGUGCAAGCGUUGUCCGGAAUUAUUGGGCGUAAAGAGCUCGUAGGCGGUCUGUCGCGUCUGCUGUGAAAACCUAGGGCUUAACUCUGGGCGUGCAGUGGGUACGGGCAGGCUAGAGUGCGGUAGGGGAGACUGGAAUUCCUGGUGUAGCGGUGAAAUGCGCAGAUAUCAGGAGGAACACCGGUGGCGAAGGCGGGUCUCUGGGCCGAUACUGACGCUGAGGAGCGAAAGCAUGGGGAGCGAACAGG